CUGGUUGAUCCUGCCUGAACUGAUGUGCUUAUCUCAAAGAUUAAGCCAUGCAUGUCUAAGUAUAAACGAUUGAAUCGUGAAACCGCGAAUGGCUCAUUAUAACAGCUAUAAUUUACUUGAUCUUGACAAUCCUACAUGGAUAACUGUGGUAAUUCUAGAGCUAAUACAUGCAGCAAAGUUCUGACCUCACGGGAAGAAUGCAUUUAUUAGAACAAAACCAAGCGGCCAUUGGUCGUUUUUUGUUGACUCAGAAUAACUAAGCUGAUCGCACGGUCUUGCACCGGCGACGUGUCUUUCGAGUAUCUGCCUUAUCAACUUUCGACGGUAGUGUAUCUGACUACCGUGGUGGUGACGGGUAACGGAGGAUAAGGGUUUGACUCCGGAGAAGGGGCCUGAGAAAUGGCCACUACGUCUAAGGAUGGCAGCAGGCGCGAAAAUUACCCACUCUCGGAACGAGGAGGUAGUGACGAAAAAUAACGAGACUGUUCUCUACGAGGCCGGUCAUCGGAAUGGGUACAAUUUAAACCCUUUAACGAGUAUCUAUGAGAGGGCAAGUCUGGU
Molecule: ribosomal RNA, 561 nt
Filed under: uncultured eukaryote
Lineage: Eukaryota
Description: SSU rRNA
Rfam family: Eukaryotic small subunit ribosomal RNA
Source: RNAcentral